GACGAACGCUGGCGGCGUGCUUAACACAUGCAAGUCGAACGGAAAGGCCCUGCUUUUGUGGGGUGCUCGAGUGGCGAACGGGUGAGUAACACGUGAGUAACCUGCCCUUGACUUUGGGAUAACUUCAGGAAACUGGGGCUAAUACCGGAUAGGAGCUCCUGCUGCAUGGUGGGGGUUGGAAAGUUUCGGCGGUUGGGGCUGGACUCGCGGCUUAUCAGCUUGUUGGUGGGGUAGUGGCUUACCAAGGCUUUGACGGGUAGCCGGCCUGAGAGGGUGACCGGCCACAUUGGGACUGAGAUACGGCCCAGACUCCUACGGGAGGCAGCAGUGGGGAAUAUUGCACAAUGGGAGGAAGCCUGAUGCAGCAACGCCGCGUGCGGGAUGACGGCCUUCGGGUUGUAAACCGCUUUCGCCUGUGACGAAGCGUGAGUGACGGUAAUGGGUAAAGAAGCACCGGCUAACUACGUG
Molecule: ribosomal RNA, 468 nt
Filed under: uncultured bacterium
Lineage: Bacteria
Description: partial 16S ribosomal RNA
Rfam family: Bacterial small subunit ribosomal RNA
Source: RNAcentral